This 372-nucleotide long non-coding RNA is filed under the name Homo sapiens (human). RNAcentral's name for it is "non-protein coding lnc-HBM-1:1". Lineage: Eukaryota; Metazoa; Chordata; Mammalia; Primates; Hominidae. The record is from RNAcentral.
GUGGUGCUGUCUCCUGAGGACAAGGCUAACACCAAGGCGGUCUGGGAGAAAGUUGGCAACCACACUGCUGGCUAUGCCACGGAGGCCCUGGAGAGCACUUGGCCCUGAGUUAUGGCUCAGCCCAGAUCAAGAAACAAUGCAAGUAGGUGGCCGACACGCUGACCAAUGCCGUGGUCCACUUAGAUGACAUGCCCAAUGAUGUGUCUGAGCUGAGGAAGCUGCAUGUCCACGAGCUGUGGGUGGACCCAGGCAACAUCAGGCUGGGUAAAUGCCUGCUGGUGACCUAGGCCUGCCACACCCUUCCCAGUUUACCCAUGUGGUGCCUCCAUGGACAAAUUAUUUGCUUUUGUGAGUGCUGUGUUGACCUAAAAA